GACGAACGCUGGCGGCGUGCUUAACACAUGCAAGUCGAACGAGUGGCGAACGGGUGAGUAACACGUGGGUGACCUGCCCUGCACUUCGGGAUAAGCCUAGGAAACUGGGUCUCCUACCGGCUAGUGUGGGAUGGGCCCGCGGCCUAUCAGCUUGUUGGUGGGGUAAUUGCUACCAAGGCUCGACGGGUAGCCGGCCUGAUAGGGUGGACGGACACAUUGGGACUGAGACACUGCCCAGACUCCUACGGGAGGCAGCAGUGGGGAAUAUUGGACAAUGGGCGAAAGCCGGAUCCAGCCAUGCCGCGUGUGUGAAGAAGGUCUUCGGAUUGUAAAGCACUUUAAGUUGGGAGGCGUUACCAACAGAAUAAGCACCGGCUAACUUCGUGCCAGCAGCCGCGGUAAUAC
RNAcentral lists this ribosomal RNA (405 nucleotides) under uncultured bacterium. Its description in RNAcentral is "partial 16S ribosomal RNA". It matches the Rfam family "Bacterial small subunit ribosomal RNA", at positions 28 to 526 of the family's 1533-position model. The record is from RNAcentral.